RNAcentral lists this ribosomal RNA (423 nucleotides) under Triticum aestivum (bread wheat). RNAcentral's name for it is "partial small subunit ribosomal RNA". The record is from RNAcentral. Lineage: Eukaryota; Viridiplantae; Streptophyta; Magnoliopsida; Poales; Poaceae.
AUGGCUCCAUACCGACUAGCAACAUUUGGUUUUCGAGGUACCUUGAAACUACAGAACAAAUAUUAUGGUCUUUUCAGUGUAGUUCAUAGAAUUGGUAACUCUGCUUACAAACUCCAAUUUCCGGCACAUGUCAAGAUACACCCAAUCUUUCAUGUCAGACAGUUGAAGAAGCAUUUGGGGAAGAAAUCUAUCCCUAGUCCAGAUCUGCCAAUGGUCAAUGAGGAUGGUUCAAUCAAAACCGAACCAACUAUGGUGCUUGAAGUGAGACAAGUACCAAGACACAACCUGCCUGUUGUUCAAUGGCUGAUUCAGUGGGAAAACAUGGCACCCGAAGAUGCUACCUGGGAAGAUGAUGAAUUCAUAAAGCAUACAUUUCCAGCGUUCUUUCGUUCGACAGCUCAAGCAUGGAGAUCAGUCUCAUAA